This 558-nucleotide ribosomal RNA is filed under the name uncultured archaeon. RNAcentral's name for it is "bacterial SSU rRNA". It matches the Rfam family "Archaeal small subunit ribosomal RNA", at positions 325 to 879 of the family's 1478-position model. The record is from RNAcentral.
ACGGGGUGCAGCAGGCGCGAAAACUCCGCAAUGCGCGAAAGCGUGACGGGGGAACCCCAAGUGCCGUUGGACUUUUGUUCGACGGCUUUUAUGGAGUCUAGGAAGCUCCAGGAAUAAGGGCUGGGUAAGUCGGGUGCCAGCCGCCGCGGUAAUACCCGCAGCCCAAGUGGUGGUCGCGAUUAUUGGGCCUAAAGCGCUCGUAGCCGGGUUGGCAAGUCCCUUGUGAAAUCGGGCGGCUUAACCGUUCGGCUUGCAAGGGAUACUGCCAGUCUUGAGGCCGGGAGACGUUGAGGGUACUCUGAGGGUAGCGGUGAAAUGCUCUAAUCCUUGGGGGACUACCAGUGGCGAAGGCGCUCGACGAGAACGGACCUGACGGUGAGGGGCGAAGGCUAGGGGAGCGAACGGGAUUAGAUACCCCGGUAGUCCUAGCUGUAAAGUAUGCGGGCCAGGUGUCUGGUGUUCCUCGAGAGCACUAGGUGCCGGAGAGAAGUCGUUAAGCCCGCCGCCUGGGAAGUACGGUCGCAAGGCUGAAACUUAAAGGAAUUGGCGGGGGAGCAC